RNAcentral lists this ribosomal RNA (519 nucleotides) under Escherichia coli. RNAcentral describes it as "partial 23S ribosomal RNA". It matches the Rfam family "Bacterial large subunit ribosomal RNA", at positions 717 to 1234 of the family's 2925-position model. The record is from RNAcentral. Lineage: Bacteria; Pseudomonadati; Pseudomonadota; Gammaproteobacteria; Enterobacterales; Enterobacteriaceae.
GAAACCCGGUGAUCUAGCCAUGGGCAGGUUGAAGGUUGGGUAACACUAACUGGAGGACCGAACCGACUAAUGUUGAAAAAUUAGCGGAUGACUUGUGGCUGGGGGUGAAAGGCCAAUCAAACCGGGAGAUAGCUGGUUCUCCCCGAAAGCUAUUUAGGUAGCGCCUCGUGAAUUCAUCUCCGGGGGUAGAGCACUGUUUCGGCAAGGGGGUCAUCCCGACUUACCAACCCGAUGCAAACUGCGAAUACCGGAGAAUGUUAUCACGGGAGACACACGGCGGGUGCUAACGUCCGUCGUGAAGAGGGAAACAACCCAGACCGCCAGCUAAGGUCCCAAAGUCAUGGUUAAGUGGGAAACGAUGUGGGAAGGCCCAGACAGCCAGGAUGUUGGCUUAGAAGCAGCCAUCAUUUAAAGAAAGCGUAAUAGCUCACUGGUCGAGUCGGCCUGCGCGGAAGAUGUAACGGGGCUAAACCAUGCACCGAAGCUGCGGCAGCGACACUAUGUGUUGUUGGGUAGGGG